UACGUAGGGUGCAAGCGUUACUCGGAAUCAUUGGGCGUAAAGCGUAUGUAGGCGGUUUCGUAAGUCUGAUGUGAAAGCCCUGGACUCAAUCCAGGAAGUGCAUUGGAUACUGCGAGACUAGAGUAUAGGAGAGGUGGACGGAAUUCCUGGUGUAGAGGUGAAAUUCGUAGAUAUCAGGAGGAACAACAGAAGCGAAGGCGGUUCACUGGACUAUAACUGACGCUGAGAUACGAAAGUGUGGGGAGCAAACAGG
This 253-nucleotide ribosomal RNA is filed under the name uncultured bacterium. Its description in RNAcentral is "partial 16S ribosomal RNA". It matches the Rfam family "Bacterial small subunit ribosomal RNA", at positions 524 to 776 of the family's 1533-position model. The record is from RNAcentral.